This 455-nucleotide ribosomal RNA is filed under the name uncultured bacterium. RNAcentral's name for it is "bacterial SSU rRNA". It matches the Rfam family "Bacterial small subunit ribosomal RNA", at positions 335 to 799 of the family's 1533-position model. The record is from RNAcentral.
ACUCCUACGGGGAGGCAGCAGUGGGGGAAUAUUGCACAAUGGGCGCAAGCCUGAUGCAGCAACGCCGUGUGAGUGAAGAAGGUUUUCGGAUCGUAAAACUCUGUCCUAAGGGAAGAAACAAAUGACGGUACCUUAGGAGGAAGCCCCGGCUAACUACGUGCCAGCAGCCGCGGUAAUACGUAGGGGGCAAGCGUUAUCCGGAAUCACUGGGGCGUAAAGGGGUGCGUAGGCGGCUUAGCAAGCCAGGGGUGAAAGGCAUUGGCUCAACCAAUGUAAGCCUUUGGAACUGUUAAGCUUGAGUGCAGGAGAGGUAAGUGGAAUUCCUAGUGUAGAGGUGAAAUUCGUAGAUAUUAGGAGGAACACCGAGUGGCGAAGGCGACUUACUGGACUGUAACUGACGCUGAUGCACGAAAGCGUGGGUAGCGAACAGGUUUAGAUACCCUGGGAGCACAGAG